Molecule: long non-coding RNA, 1023 nt
Organism: Ictalurus punctatus (channel catfish)
Lineage: Eukaryota; Metazoa; Chordata; Actinopteri; Siluriformes; Ictaluridae
Source: Ensembl
AGCACUGCGGGGGUUUUGGGAAGUCAUGCUAACUGCUUAGCUGUGCUGCGCUAGCCACCAUUUCGGUUUGUUUACUUCCGGUAUGGCUGCUGAUGAAACGAUAUGAAAACUAGCUAGUGUAACAUGACGUGUAUAGACAUGAGACGCAUUUCGGGCAUAAUAAACGCUGUAAGAAACGUGUCAGGAGCUGAAAAGAAACACACCAGACUGCUUUAAGCACUAACUCCGAGAAGAGUACCAGCUAAACCAGCCAAACCAGCACAGAGUCACGCGUGACAAGUGACCCUUAAUGUGCCGUGCUGACGUCACAGGGAGACACUUGGUGUUUUUUUAUCAGUGGUAAGGCUACAUCGGUCUUUCGCUCUGCACACAAAGGUCAAACCGCUGCGUGACAACUUUUCUACGAGCAUCCUCCGGUUUGCUUGUUGUCCAGAAAAGCUGAAAAGACUCGCGCAGCCCAGCCAGGGAUGCUAAAUUGUCGUGGAAAUUAGACAACACUCGCAGACUUGUCCUCUGAAGGUAAAAGGUUUAUUACAGAAAGAUGGUUAAUACAGGAUAGAAUAAAGCAGGAUAGAAUAAUGAGAGAGCUCUGAAGUGCUUGUGCUGAACCACUACUAUAUAUAUAUAUAUAUAUAUAUAUAUUAUAUAUAUAUAUAUAUAUAUAUAUAUAUAUAUAUAUAUAUAUAUGAAACGCAGAGCAUGACACACUUCUGUGUACCGAUAAGAAGAUAAACAUUCUGUACUGAUCUCACUGACAUGAUAUGGCCUUCUUAGGCAUUAUCCUCAGAUGGGAAUGAAACAGAACAAGAACAAAACUAUUACAAAGUAAAAAUGAAUCAUUUCCCUCACACGUGUUUAGUGAUCGUGGUGAUAAUUUGCCGUGCCGUAUUUUCGUUACAGCGUGACAAGUGAGCCUUAAUGUGCCGUGCUGACGUCACAGGGAGACACUUGGUGCUUUUAGUAAGGAGAAAACAUUUCAAGGACCUCAAACACAAGAGUCAUAUCUCUCAGGUUUCACGGUAA